This is a long non-coding RNA of Corvus hawaiiensis (hawaiian crow), 6850 nucleotides long. RefSeq lists it as uncharacterized. Lineage: Eukaryota; Metazoa; Chordata; Aves; Passeriformes; Corvidae. The record is from RefSeq and is a predicted model, not a curated record. The transcript has 2 exons.
CUGCUCCAUGGGCUGGGCUGGUGAGACACAAUGCAUACAGUUGGUCUGCACUGCCUGUAAGUUAAACAAAUCCAUUCUAAAGCUCAAGAAGUGUAAAAUACGUGUGCCAAUAUACAGAUCUUGGUGUGGAAAGGGGAAUCCUCUGGUAACCCAGAGGCUGCCACAGGAUUUCAUGUGAGUUUGGAUAAGUGACUUGUUCUCUGCCACUGUAGAAGACGAAUACUAAUGCUUUUGCUUCUCAUAGGCUUUUGUGAGGCUUAAGACUGUAAUAUACUUGUAUUAUAAUGAGAUGACUUUAUGUAUGCAAAUAAAAUGGUUUUGUUCUUAUCAUCUCUCCUAUAGAACCGGAUUUAAGAUUGAUUGGCAUAGUAACAGGACUUGGAGGAAUGUUAGGCCCUGAGUGUACUAUACGAAGAAUGUAGGAGAAACAAAAUGUGCUAAGGCUACAAGUGCCUGUGAAAAAUGAGAAGGAAAACCAGGGUGAAUUAUUAGAAAGGCAGAAGGAGUACUGAGGGGACAAGGUCAUGAAAGCCCAGUGGAUAGAAUUUCAAGGUGAAUAUGACCAGUGAGCUCCAAGGGUGAAUUAAAAACAACAACAACCACCAAAAACAAACAAACAAACAAAAAAGUGGCAAAUGAACUGGAAGAGAUGGAAACUAAAAACAAAGUUCCAGAUUAGUAAUUUCUUUGUGAUAAGGGCAGAAGGAAGUGGAUUAAAAACAAGUUUUAAGUCCAGAGCAUUAAGUGGACAGAUUUUUAAUGUAGGCUUAAUGAGAGUUUUUCCUUCAACUAUAGGUAUAUGAGGUAUGUCAAAAAUACUAGGCUUAGGCAUUCCUCUAGUUUGCUUUAAAAUGAAAUUAAUUCAGCUGAUUUCCUUGAACUUGCAGCAUUGUUAAACUGGCUAAAUGAGAAGAGAGUCAAGGUUGUUAUUUUCAAAAACUUGAGAAAUGUAAACAAGGGUGUUCUGCCAGAUAGAAACUGAAGAGUUAAAGAUCUUUUGCAUUUGUUGUGUACUCCUUCAGCAAACAUAAUGGAGAUGAAAGUCACAGACUUGAAACUCAAUCAUCCAACCAUGAAACAACUAAGAAAAGAACCAAGGCACAAGUAUGGUGCCUGGCUAAAAUCUAAUGAUAGUUAUUAAUUUACAGGCUAAUUUGGCUUCAGAAGUCUUUUGUUCUUUCCCUCUCUUUUCCACAUGUCUUUUGGGAUGCAAUUAAAGGUCUUAGUUUUCACAUUUGCUAUUGUGCUAAGCUACUUCAGGUUGUCUUGACAUCAUACUGUUUCACAGCAUGGUCAACAGAAAUACCACGUUCUACAAAAUCCAUCUUUGGGUGUAUGAAGCAUUUGCCUUAUUUUAUUGUUACAGCACUACAUCAGUGGCACAAAACAACUUAAUGAAGGUUGUUUUACAGUGACAAAGCUGUGUUGGGGAGCAGUGGUGGUAAGGAAACUCAGGAAGACAAUGAGUAUUUAUGUUACAAUAGUGUCUGCAACAUGCUAGAAAUGUUUUCCUAGCAUAUAAGACCCUAUUCAUUGCCAAAGACCUUGUUCCUUAAAAGACAGUGUAAGGACAAAGCACAACAAAAACCAACGUGAUGAUUGCCAGAACUGAAGAGGAAGGGACUUACUUCUCUUUCUUUUCAGCUGGUUACUCUUCACUUGCUCCCUAAAGUGGCCUUUCCAAGAUAGCUAAUUUCUUGUCUGUCAGUGGAUGUUGGAAAAGAACUUUACCAGUGACUAGGUAAUGAUGAGACAUACUGCUUUGCAGAGAAUGCAGUGAAAAGUCUUUAAAAUUAAAUACCAGUCAUAAUGAGGAUGUUGUGGGAUAAACUCAGUGCAAGGUCAUUGUUUUUUAUCACCACUUAGAUAUGGAUCUGAUAUGUUUAUUAGAAAGGGAAAAAAGAAAAGGUUGGUCAGUGAAUAACUUCUCUGUUUUUAUUAAGUAGUAAUAAUAGCUGCAUUUAUACCAUGCUUUACAUAGCUUGCGUACUGCAGCGCUGAGAUUAUACAAGCAACCAAAAAAGAAUCCUUGAAGCCCGGGGAGAAGAGGAAUGCAGAGUAACAAGGUUAUAGAAGGUUACAAAGUCAGUUUAGAAAUAAAGUUUGAAUGAAAAGUAAUCUCAUGUUGAGAUAGUUUUGCUGUGAAUGGGAAAAAAAAUGCUUGGACUCCAGGCUAAGUUUUUCAUUGCUGCCAGCAGGCCUCUUGGAAGCUACAUGUGCUCCUGAGGUAGGUGGUAGUAUAAGGUGUCAGUGAGACAGAUGCAUGUCCACAACAGUGUCAAAAUUAAAAGUCAGAACUUGGGGGCUUGUAGCAUUUGCUCUCUUCCACCCAGACCACUCCACCAUGUUCUUCAGCCUGACUGCUGCUAUUCCACUUAGACCAUUAUUCACUGGUCUCACCAGUGCCAUUUUUCAAGCUUGCUUUUCAUACUAGCAAGUGAACUGUAACAGGUUUGCAGCUUUUCCAAAGUAAAGGAGAGAACUGUUUGUCUGAGUUGGAUUCUCUGUUAAAGUCACUUCCUUUCUAAUCAGGACAAAGUGUACAAAGUACAUCCACAAGGCUAUGCAAGUGCUCCUUUGUUGAAUGCAUGCUCUUUCCUGAGGUAUUCAAAGGGUUAGGAUGGUUUAUUUGUCUCCCAGAUACCUCCCCUGGACCCUGUUCUGCAAAGCAAGGAAAGGGUCACCCAAUAGAGGUGAUCUGGAAGGUGGGGGAGUCAUUGCCCUGCGAGACUAGUGCUGACCAUUACAGAGGAGCACAUGACCAAACACAGGGUCCCCUCAAAUCACUAGGGCAGCAUAACUGAAGGGGUCUCAGAAAUUUUCGAGAUCCAGGCUUUGAUAUGCCAAGAACUUGGUAUUUUCCACAGUAUGAAGUAGCAAAGGGCACUUGGAACAACAGAGAAUUUGGCUCAGAGCCCUGAAAAUGAUCUGCAGUAUCCUGUACCAUCUCUCAUCCUGCUUAGUGCUUGUUGAUGCCAUUGUAGAGUUUCCCUAAAAGUUUUUGCUGAAAUUAAAGUAAUAGAAUAAGUUGGUUGUCACUGAAUAUCAUAAUGGUCUAAUGUUCAAAAGAAAAAACCUUUCGUUAUAGUCUGAGUUUAUAAGUGUUGGACUAAAUUAUAAGGAGUAUUCUCAAUUACUCUAUGUAAACUUGUGUUUAAUACUGCCUUUAAUAUUAUGAGAUUCCUCCGGGCUAUUUAACUAAAAUUGGUUUUGUUGUCCCUGAAUCUGUCUGAAAUUAUAUGCCUUUUCAUAUCUGGGAAUAUAGCCUAUUUUUAUUACACCAAAAAUAUGGUUAGGGUUGAUCCAGAGAUAUUUAUACAUAUUAAAAUUUUUGUCUACUGUAAUAAUUUUAUUCACAUUUAAGGAAAAUUAUUUAUGCUAGUGAAGUACAGAACAAUGGCUUUUUUUUCUUUUUAGCUGAAAAUUCUGCUUCCAGAUGUCUGUAUCUGUAAAGCUGUGGAAAUGCAACAUAGCUUAGAAAAUGCUCAAGACCAACUCAUUCCAGUUUUGUCCUCAUUUUCAGCUUUGUACCAUGGAAAGUUCAAAACCUUUUUUUCACAUUGUUUGUGAGAUUUCUCCAGAGGGAGUAUUUCUGGCUCUGGUUAGAAAAGAACUCACUGUCUUGCUAAAGAUUGACAAUUAUGUACAUUUUUGGUCUCUAAUUUUAGCAAGCCAGCAGGCCCUCAGGGUGCUUAAAGUCCAGUUAUGAACAGAAAAUUACUUUCAAAGAACAUUUGUUAAACCCAUUUGAAAUCCAUGCACUGAUACAGAAAUAAGCAGUUCUGGGGGCAAAAAAAGAGAGAGAUUCCUGUUUUAUCUGUAUGUUGGUCAAAUUUAUCUGUACUGCUCCAGGAACUUCUCUUGAUUUUGGUGCAGACAAGUCUUCCAGAGUGAGAACAGGUGACUCCAACAUAAAGUCCAGCACUUCAUAGCACCACAAUCACAAAAAGACCUUUUCAUUCUGCAUCUGAUAUGUGCUUCCUGCCCCUCUGUCAUCAUGAUUCAGCAUGGUGACAUGCUGAAAGAUCAUUAAGGUGGAAACAAUGCCGUGCAGUGUUAGGAUGAUGUGACCUGCCGUGAUUAUUUUGUGUGUACCUGAUUUGCUGCACAUCAUAUUUUCUCUUUCCUCAUCUUUUGGCUGCCAGGCACGUAGUUCUUACUUCUGCCAGUGCCUGGUUUUGUAUUUGGAAAAGGGAACAGGGAUGCCCUGAGGUGUAGGCAAGGACAGUUUGCUCUCUGCCCCUUGGUUUGGGAAGCUUGAGAAUACCUCAGCUCAUGUUUUGCAAUAUAUAGAGCCAUUUAAUGAGUUACCAAGUCUCCAGUUGGGGUUUUUGUUUUUUUUGUUUUGUUUGGGUUUUUUUUGGUUUUUUUUUUUUUUUGAUUACCUAGAAACAGUUACCCAGAGCUGAAGAGAGGAGCUCAAGAAGUGUUCCUGAAAUUAUGAAGACAUAUUUGUUAAAAAACUGGACAUUUUAUCAUUGGGUUGAAGAUGCAGUUUCUUUUCCUUUUCUCCAGAUAGCACAAUUUCUGUUAUCCCUAAACUCUUUUUCUUAUGGAGGCAGUUGUACAAGUAGGGGAGAUUCCAAGAAAACAGUGAGCUUAAAACAUUUGCUGCUAUGAAAGAAGAGACCUGUCUCAGUAAUUUAAGAGAGGAAGGAAAAGAUAAUAGUGAGUGAGGUUGUGAGCUGGUAAGACUGACUGGGUAGUAUUCCUCAGUAACACUUGGUGGUUUGAUUUUUGUUCUUUUUUUGAUGAGGCAAUUUCUUGAGAAGAAUGGGGACGGGCUUCAUUUUUGUUUGUUUUUCAAGUGAACAAUGGUGUCCUCCCUCUUUUCUUGAACAAUGGGGAUAAAAUAUUAUAGCUCAUGUUUUGUUAAAACUAUUGAGAAUGCACAUCUGUCCUGAAGAGCUCACCUUUCCCAGGGCUGGCUACGGACACACACACACACAAGCACUGUGAGCCUGAAUCCCAAAGAGUCACCACAAUUAAGGUGGACUCAGUAGCAUGUCUUCUGUCACUACCCAUUCCUCCUUCUGCCAGGACAGUGCCUGUUCCCAUGCUCCCCUCUGAUGCAUAAUACAAUGCAACAUCCUGUUGCUCUCUUGCCUUUGCACCCCUCAGUGUCUACCCCAUCCCAAGGGCUUUGUGAUGUCUAUUCUUGCAUUUCCAUUCUUCCCAAAGACACAGGAUUUUACUCCAUGCCCUUCUGUUUGCCUUCAGUGCUCCUCUUGUGCCCUUCUUCAACGCUUUCUUCAGUUGCAGCUCAUUUAAGACAUGGUGUUGAGUUGCUGCCACCAGAAAGGGUGGUUCUGCUCCCUCCAGAGCCAUGCUCCUUGGCAUCACUCUUGUCAAGCCCUUUGGUGAGUCAGUUCAAGAGAGUAGUUUUCUGUUGGAUUAACAAGUUGGAUCAGUUUACCAAGUGGUUUGAUGUGGUGUAAGAGAGGGUGUGGACCAGCAGGGCCAGGAGUUGGGGAGGGAAAAGCAGGACCACCCAAGUCAGAAUAGUAAGCUGACUCAGUCACGUCAUGUAACUUCAGUCUUAUUUACUUCAUAUUAUGUAACUUGACCCAUUUCUACUUUCUCUCUGACUGAAGAGAAGCUUUUCAUUUUGAAACUGUAUUGGAAUCAGCAGAUCCAAAGUGCAGGAUAUUGUAUACCAAGACAGGGUAAUGGCUAGUGUCACCUGAUACUGCUAUCUAAGGAUGCAAGGAGAGGUGUUUCAGGCUAUCGAUGGUGCCAACAGCAUGCCAGGGACUCAGAUUUUGCAUUCAGAUGGCACAACGCUGUUCAUGAAUCCACUGAAACAUAAUGUUGGAAUUGUACAUUGGAGAGCUUUUCCAAAGGAGUACCAAAAUAUUAAGUCCUGGAAAAUUAAGCUUACAAGGUUUUUGUGCAAACACACAGCUGAAUUUGUAUCAUUAACAUCCUUGUUUUGUGUUCAGAGUGAUAGUAUGUGCUACAGAGCUGUAAUUAGUGCUGGGUUGUGUCUGAGUCUUGCUAUCAUUCUGCAUCAGUUUGUCACUGUUAGAGUCACCCGAACCUGUUCCUUGCUCACCCAGUUAGCUAAUUAGUGACCUAGAGAAAAGGUGGCAUUUAUUGGUACUAGAAGAAAUGGCCUUUCAUUUUUAUGGAGAAGCAAAAACAGGUCAACAAGAAUUUGCUGCUUUUUCAUCCACUUACAGUGCAAUGGAAGAUGAUUAUGCUUAUCUUGUCAGGAGGUGGAUUUCACUUUUUUUCUUCCUUUCCUGUUGCAUUAGGCUUACAUUUUCUCCCUGGAAUUAUUCUCUCUUUUUUUGUUGUUGUUUUGAGUGUGUUUUGUUAUUUGUUCAUUUGUUUGUUUUGGGGUGUGUAUGUGCCCUCAGAUUGUUGGUAAUGCUGGGACCACGUUCAGGAGUUUUCAUUAAAAAGCAGAUUCCUAAAAAGGAUUUCUAUAUUAGAACUUCCUCACUGUGUGAUUGACUUCUAACUGGAGGGGAUAGGCAGACAAUAGAUGAAGAUUCUGUCCUCAUCUAUUUACCAAAUUGUUCAAAUCGUUGUUGAAAUUUGUGUGGGAGGCAACACUCCUCCCUUUUUGCAAACACAUCCUCCAGUAAAAGCCAUGUGCUGUGGGCAAAAGUAGUCAAGGGCUUGCUGCCUUUUUCUUUCUUUUUUUAAUAAACAGCAGCUUAUCAGUUUGAGAGGCUGAGCAUGGCUAGGUCAUAUACACACACAGACUCGUGUUUGUGGAUAUGCCCAUCCUGUGAACCCAGCCUGACUCCUACCAUAUUGUAGUUACAGCAACCAUUUCUCCACUAUUUUAAUGCAUAUUCUGUAUUUAACUUGUGACAUGAAUAAAAGAAACGCUGAGUCA